RNAcentral lists this long non-coding RNA (519 nucleotides) under Malus domestica (apple). RNAcentral describes it as "long non-coding RNA (MDOM_LNC009395)". Lineage: Eukaryota; Viridiplantae; Streptophyta; Magnoliopsida; Rosales; Rosaceae. The record is from RNAcentral.
CUCAGCGACAGGUUUUAGAAUCCUGAAAUCUAAGUAAAGGUACAUCAUUCCUAUUUUCGUGUUUUUUUAAUUCCUAUCAUCAUGGCCAUGAUUAAACGUGAAUAUGCAUGCCAACCUUGCAUACUCAGUGAUUAAUUUCUGGGUGAAUGUUUCUUUGGACGAGGGUUUGCAGAUAUGAAUACUUGGGGGCAGAUGGUCACCAUGUUGGAGCCAUUGAUACUGAUACAACUUGGGAAGUAGUUGGUUAUAUUCAAAUCAGAAAUAAAAUUGUUGUAUAUAUUCCGCAUUUGAUUGAAAAUCUGUAAUUUUAUGAAUCAUUUAUUCGGAUUUAAUGUCAAUUAAAUAGAAAUUAUUCUUCUUUGAUAUCAUUGUGCGCAACACAUAAUUUCACUUAGUUUUUUUUCCACAGUAAGAUUCCGUAUAAUUAAUCUCUACAAUUUAUUCAUGUGUUCAUGGUCACCACUUAAUUAUUUAGUGAUUGGGUGUUGAGUGUUGACCACCGAAUGUUUCUUUUUUCAG